GCUCCUACCGAUUGAGCAAUCCGGUGAAUAUUUCGGACCGACUGGCUCGGGGCAACCUGCUGCUAGUUGGAAAGUCAAGUAAACCUUAUUGCUUAGAGGAAGGUGAAGUCGUAACAAGGUUUCC
This 124-nucleotide ribosomal RNA is filed under the name Amoebophrya sp. Its description in RNAcentral is "partial small subunit ribosomal RNA". It matches the Rfam family "Eukaryotic small subunit ribosomal RNA", at positions 1678 to 1804 of the family's 1831-position model. Lineage: Eukaryota; Dinophyceae; Syndiniales; Amoebophryaceae. The record is from RNAcentral.